Molecule: ribosomal RNA, 578 nt
Filed under: Westiellopsis prolifica AUS-JR/BS/MS/NT -050
Lineage: Bacteria; Bacillati; Cyanobacteriota; Cyanophyceae; Nostocales; Hapalosiphonaceae
Description: bacterial SSU rRNA
Rfam family: Bacterial small subunit ribosomal RNA
Source: RNAcentral
AAGGUUAACUGCCUGGAGAUGAGCUCGCGUCUGAUUAGCUAGUUGGUGGUGUAAGGGACUACCAAGGCGACGAUCAGUAGCUGGUCUGAGAGGAUGAUCAGCCACACUGGAACUGAGACACGGUCCAGACUCCUACGGGAGGCAGCAGUGGGGAAUUUUCCGCAAUGGGCGAAAGCCUGACGGAGCAAUACCGCGUGAGGGAGGAAGGCUCUUGGGUUGUAAACCUCUUUUCUCAGGGAAUAAGCAAGUGAAGGUACCUGAGGAAUCAGCAUCGGCUAACUCCGUGCCAGCAGCCGCGGUAAUACGGAGGAUGCAAGCGUUAUCCGGAAUGAUUGGGCGUAAAGCGUCCGUAGGUAGCAGUGUGUGUCUAUUGUUAAAGAGUUUGGCUUAACCAAAUAAGGGCGGUAGAAACUACACAGCUAGAGUGCGUUCGGGGCAGAGGGAAUUCCUGGUGUAGCGGUGAAAUGCGUAGAGAUCAGGAAGAACACCGGUGGCGAAAGCGCUCUGCUAGGCCGCAACUGACACUGAGGGACGAAAGCUAGGGGAGCGAAAGGGAUUAGAUACCCCCGUUAAUCAAA